AGGGAGCUUGCUCCCUGUAGUUAGCGGCGGACGGGUGAGUAACACGUGGGUAACCUGCCUGUAAGACUGGGAAACUCCGGGAAACCGGGGCUAAUACCGGAGCUUGUUUGAACCGCAUGGUUCAAACAUAAAAGGUGGCUUCGGCUACCACUUACAGAUGGGACCCGCGGCGCAUUAGCUAGUUGGUGAGGUAAUGGCUCACCAAGGCAACGAUGCGUAGCCCGACCUGAGAGGGUGAUCGGCCACACUGGGGACUGGAGACACGGCCCAGACUCCUACGGGAGGCAGCAGUAGGGAUUCUUCCGCAUGGACGAAA
RNAcentral lists this ribosomal RNA (316 nucleotides) under Bacillus atrophaeus. RNAcentral describes it as "bacterial SSU rRNA". It matches the Rfam family "Bacterial small subunit ribosomal RNA", at positions 73 to 380 of the family's 1533-position model. Lineage: Bacteria; Bacillati; Bacillota; Bacilli; Caryophanales; Bacillaceae. The record is from RNAcentral.